This 253-nucleotide ribosomal RNA is filed under the name uncultured bacterium. Its description in RNAcentral is "partial 16S ribosomal RNA". It matches the Rfam family "Bacterial small subunit ribosomal RNA", at positions 524 to 776 of the family's 1533-position model. The record is from RNAcentral.
UACAGAGGGUGCGAGCGUUAAUCGGAGUGACUGGGCGUAAAGGGCAUGUAGGCGGUUAUAUUAGUCUGAUGUGAAAGACCUAGGCUUAACCUGGGACAUGCAUUGGAAACGGUAUAGCUAGAGUAUGGGAGAGGGAAGUGGAAUUUCCGGUGUAGCGGUGAAAUGCGUAGAGAUCGGAAAGAACACUCGUGGCGAAGGCGGCUUCCUGGCCCAAAACUGACGCUGAGGUGCGAAAGCAUGGGGAGCAAACAGG